AGCCACCGUUACCAAUUGCUAUGAUUGGUUGGUUACAUACACACACACAUGUAUUACAUAUUUCACAUUACCACUCCUGAUCAGAGUCCUGACCAAGAAUCUGUGGAGUGGAUAUGAUGCUUUUCAGUUUCACUUAAUGUGGAAAAGGUAGUGAACCACAGCAAUGGAAGUAGCCGUCCGCGUCAUACCAAAACCGCUUUGAGAUCUGAGCUUCUCUGAUUAGAUAUUCACCCCAAUCUUUUUCCCCAAACUCUUUGUGUAUCUCUCGUGCAUCAAAUGUAUUUGAUUUCCUUUCAUCCCUUCUGUAGGUUGUAUUCAUCAGCGUGACAUGUAGCUGCAAGAGAAAAAAAGGAACAGGCAUGAAGGAGCAAAGAUGAGACCAUAUUUCUUCAAUCAUUCUCCUAGUAAACGAGAGUUUUUUUCAGUUUCAAAUACAAAGGAAUACUCAAAAGGCAAAGGAGUAAAUAAUAAGAGUAAACAAUAAAACCAUUUACCUUCAAGUGUAGCUUUGCAUCUCUCCCAGCAAAUCCAGCAUUCGCAAAUGCAUCAAUGAUAGUAUCUGAAUUAGGGAGUUAAAAGAAUUCGACAGAUCUUGCAAACUGAGACUAGGAUAUAAAUCCAUGUGUAUAUAAACUAACUUUUCCUAAAUUGUUUUGCAAUGAAAUAAUACAAAAAUACUUUUUGCAGAAUAAAAUUUUCGUAGAAAAAUCUACUCAAAACAUUUUAUAUUAACUUAUAAUACACCAAAAUAGUAUAUUUAGCAGAAAUAAUAUUUACCUGUAUUUUUCAUUCACAAAGAUUAUUUUACAAUUUUAGAGUAAAUAAUAUAAAACAAUUAAAGGAUAUUAAUAGUGGUUUCGUUUUAAAAAGGAUAUGCCAUUUAUAAUAACAUUUCAUAAUAAAAAGCUUCAAAACAUUUAUACGAAGCAUGGCUUUAAAUAUAAAAAUGAAUUUAGAGGUAUGUUGAAGAUGGUAUGAGUCAGUGCUUUACAAAAAAAUUUGUCUAUCUUAAACCAAAGGGACAUGAGUAAAAAGAAUAAGUUUUGGCGAUAAUAGGAUGCGACAAGCCCUUAGCAGCCGGCCUUCAUCCCCAACUUCUUCGACAGGUGCAUAGAGCACGCGCGUUUUCUCUAAAGAUCCAUUCAUAGAACUCUUAUCAAGAGAAAAACAUACAAACCAGACCAUUGGGGAUUAAGUUAAAGUUUAUGUUUCAGCCACUAGAAAUAUUGUAGUAACGCAAAGCCAAAUAUGUUCCAUCUUACCAAUCCCUUAAGUCGUAUGAAGACAGGACGGUUAUCCAAAGCAUACAUCACACACGCAGAGAUACUCUUAAUUUUCAAAAGAAAAAGAUAAAGACCUCAAUCAUCAAAACCAAUCCUAUAAAAAUGCAUACAAUAUCUCUUAACUCACAGGCAACAAACUCUACCUUAAGGAUAUCCUGAGCAGCAUCCACAGCUUCCUUGUUUACUAGCCUUAACAUAACCACAGUCAAGUGUAAACUAUUUGGCGAAAUAAACAUCCUGUUUUCGAUUCCCAUUUCUGUUUAAUGUCAAAGAUGGCAUGUCAUGAAAACAAAUUUUAUAUUAAACCCUACAUUAUUAAUUUGUUUAUUUCUGUUUUGUUUAAUCUUACCAUCCAAAGUGCUCUGAAACUUCAAAGGUUUCUUAUCCUUAUUGUCACCCAAUAUAGAAUUCCGAAAAGUCUCAACCUUUUCUUUAAGCUCAGGGUGUAUGGCUAAUGGAAAUGAGAUAAAGUGUGUGUACAGUUCUCUAUAAACUUGUACAAUCUGAUAUACCAACAAUUUCAAGAUUUCAGUGAUCAUCGUAAGUAGGAAAGAAAAAGCAGGAACGAGAUUGGGGAUUAGGCUGAUGAUUAAGAAUCUCAAAAAUAGAUCAGCAAACCUGUUUGCCUUUGGAGACAUGUGGACUGGGAUGAUCAGUGGAAGAUCCCCCGUGAUUCCCUAAUGAUAAAUUCUGCUUUGACGAGUCCUUGAACAAAUCUGUUUUCACAUGAUUGUCAUCCGAUCGAUCACACACAAUAAAACUACACAAGCAUAAUCCAAAAACGUACUAGCCGAGAACAAGCAAGAGAGAGAGAGAGAGAGAGAGAGAGAGAGAGAGAGAGAGAGAGAGAGAGAGAUACCCAUAGCAUGAUCUAAGAUUUUGCCGCGUUUAAGACUUUCCAGUUUCUCGUUAAAAGUCCUGUUUUUAAACGUAUAAAUAAGACGUGGUCGACGACCCCACCAAGGCACAAGGCUUUUCCACAAAGUUUCAUGCUACAAAGCUUUUCAACUAAGUUUGUGACAAAAAAAAAAAAAAAGCUUUUCAACUAAGUUCUUUUCUUGACCAAAAAAACAUAAAUGAGAGUUAGUCGACGACCCACCAAACCAUAUUGUGAUACAAGGUUUUUCAACUAAGUUUUAUGAUACAGUAGAAACUUUACAAAUUAGUAAAUAAAAUAACCUAAUAAAUUGAUUUGGUUUUAUGUCGGACAUAAAUAUGACGCAAUUUGAUAAAAUAAUAAGAUAAUAAAAUUUUAUUUUUUAUAUAUACAUGGUCCAGUUAAAAUAAUAAAUUAAGAUUUCUAUAUAUAACUUAAAUAAAUUUUAUAUAAACGUAAAAAAAUAUAUUAUAUUGUUUGUCUUUCUUUAAAAUAAAAUUCAUCCUUAAUUUGUUCCAUUUCAAUAUUUUGGUGUUAUUUUAUCAAAUUACCAGAUCAAUUAAUCUAAUAAAAAUAGAUAAUUCAAAUCUGCAAAAUUUACCUGGAAUCAGUUUACUUCAUAUAAAAUUGAAAAGAAAAAUAUUUUACAAAUACAAUCUAAAAAGAAAAAAACUUUAAAUUAAUUACUCAACAAAUAAAUUAUCAUAUUUUAACUAUUAAUUUGUGUAAAUGCCGGUGGCGGUCCUAGAAUUUUGCGAACAAUAAAUAUUUACCUAGAUGUAUAUUAUUUCUAAAAAAAUUGAAGACCAAAGCCAAUAGAAGUGAUACAAAGAGUGAGUACUCCUUACAAGUUACAACCUACAAUGUGAAUUCCAAUGCGCACAAUCAGAAUCUCCAUAGAAAAGCAAACCUGCUUGUCUUUGACUUUGCAGAAGAGAGAAGUGAGAUGAGGAGUGGAAGUUUCUCCCCGUUCAAAGAGCCGGGUUGAGAUUUUUUUUGUGCCCUGAACAAGAUAAAUGUUGAUACCUUUUGGCUUUUGUUGAAUAUUAGAGUUCUUCUUAUUAAUAUUUUGUAUCAAAUUCUUUCUAAUAAAUUUAGUUUUUGAAAAUAUAAAAUUAAAUUUAGUUAAAUAAAUAUAUAAUCAAUUUUUUAUUUCUCAAAAUUAUUUUUUAAAACUAUUGUUUUCUAUAAUUUUUUUUUUUACAAAAAAUAAACUGUUACCAUGGAUUUUUUUUAAUGUUGGAUAUAUUAUGCUAUUACAAACUCUAAAAAAUAUUACAGACGAUUCUAUAGUCAGCAAUUCUAGCUUCUUUAUAAAAAUUCAAAAGCAUGAUUGUAUCAUCUUCUGGUGUAUAAGUAUUAAUAAAUUAUUGGUUAAACCACUGGACUAAUGAGACUUACACUACUUCGUGAUCUCUUAAAAACUAUUGUUUUCUAUAAUUUCUUUUGACAAAAAUUAAACUCUUAUUAGGCUUUAGGAUCUUCGUAUUAUCUUUUCAUUAAAAAUAAACUCUUGACAUUAUUAGGCUUCGAGAUCUUCGUAUAAUUUAUUUUUUUUCUCUUAAUUGCGAUUAAUUAUAUAAAAAACAUUUAGAUAAAUCAAGUUUAGAUUUACCCUGACCCACUUGAGAACCACUCUAAAGUUACACAACCUUAAAACGUUUUCCUCCAAGUCCUCGUAUGAGAGAGUGUAGUUAUACACCUCUAUUUGGCUUUCAGCCUCUUAUAACAAGAUUUGAUUAUUAAUAAAGAAACUAGUAGAAUAGGAAAAUUUCAGUCAGUAUGUUUAGAGUUAUUUUGUUUAUUCAGUAUAGCAAACCAUAUUAUAUAUGAAGUGUAAAUCAAAACACAUUAAUGUCACAAGCCACAGUUACCAACUGCUAUAUAUGAUACACACACAUGCAUUACAUAAUUGACAUUACCACUGAUCAUAGUCUAUUUUGACCAAGAAUCUGUGGAGUGGAUAGUGAUCCUUUUCAGUGUCACUUAUGUGGAAAAGGUAGUGAACCACAGCAAUGGAAGUAGCCGUUCGCGUCAUACCAAAACCGUUUUGAGAUCUGAGCCUCUCUGAUUAGAUAUUCACCCCAAUCCGUUCUCCCAAACUCUUUAUGUAUUUCUCGUCCGUCGAAAGUCAUCCCUUUGCUUUUA
Molecule: long non-coding RNA, 4308 nt
Filed under: Brassica rapa (field mustard)
Lineage: Eukaryota; Viridiplantae; Streptophyta; Magnoliopsida; Brassicales; Brassicaceae
Description: long non-coding RNA (BRAP_LNC000673)
Source: RNAcentral